UGGUUGGGACGACCCGACCGUACAAGCCGUGACAUCGGGACGACCCGA
This 48-nucleotide non-coding RNA is filed under the name Roseobacter sp. Its description in RNAcentral is "Guanidine-II sequence". It matches the Rfam family "Guanidine-II riboswitch aptamer (mini-ykkC)". Rfam says of the family: Simpler in structure and has fewer highly conserved nucleotide positions than the ykkC-yxkD leader. Despite this each of its two stem-loop structures directly bind free guanidine. The record is from RNAcentral. Lineage: Bacteria; Pseudomonadati; Pseudomonadota; Alphaproteobacteria; Rhodobacterales; Roseobacteraceae.